RNAcentral lists this non-coding RNA (280 nucleotides) under Trichoderma reesei QM6a. Its description in RNAcentral is "Eukaryotic large subunit ribosomal RNA". It matches the Rfam family "Eukaryotic large subunit ribosomal RNA", at positions 675 to 954 of the family's 3401-position model. Lineage: Eukaryota; Fungi; Ascomycota; Sordariomycetes; Hypocreales; Hypocreaceae. The record is from Rfam by way of RNAcentral.
GUUCCUCGCGUGCGGGUGCUCGAGUGUCAAACCCCUACGCGCGAUGAAGGUGAACGCAGGUGAAUCGCUUCAGCGCAUCAUCGUCCGAUCCUGAUGUUCUCCGAUGGAUUUGAAUAGGAGCAUACGUGGCCGGACCCGAAAGAAGGUGAAUCAUAUCUGUAUGGGGUGAAGUCGGAGGAUAGGAUACUCUGGUGGAGGCUCGCAGCGGCUCUGACGUGCAAAUCGAUCGUCAAAUAUGGGCAUGCCGGACGAAACUCUCAUCGGACCUCCUAGCAGCUGG